CCAGUAAUGCAAUCUGUUUGAUCGGAAACAGAGGCAUCCAGAGAGAAAGUUAAAUCAAUAAACUCUGAAAUUUUAAAUAGUGUUUUAGAGAAAUUACCUGAAAUUAUCGAUAGCUCAAGCGCAGAACUGGAGGAAAGAGAGAAGGGCGUGGACGGCGGCUUGUGGCGUAGCUGGUGACGCUUUGUGAAGUGUGAGCUGGGUUUAAGGCGUAUGAGCUGGGUAUAUGCCUGGUUAUGCUUUGUGAAGGUUGGAGAAGACGAGAGGAAGAAAUGGGUUAUCCUGGGUUUAGGGCGGAUGAGAUGGGAAAGAGAGACAGAGAGAC
Molecule: long non-coding RNA, 322 nt
Filed under: Malus domestica (apple)
Lineage: Eukaryota; Viridiplantae; Streptophyta; Magnoliopsida; Rosales; Rosaceae
Description: long non-coding RNA (MDOM_LNC021164)
Source: RNAcentral